GGCUCGAUGAUUUUAAGCCUUAUUUGUUGGCUAUAUACGCUAUUCUGAACAACAUUAUGUUGUAUUGAAAGAUUUAAAAAUUGCCUGAGAGUC
Molecule: small nucleolar RNA, 93 nt
Filed under: Zostera marina
Lineage: Eukaryota; Viridiplantae; Streptophyta; Magnoliopsida; Alismatales; Zosteraceae
Description: Small nucleolar RNA U54
Rfam family: Small nucleolar RNA U54
About the family: U54 is a C/D box small nucleolar RNA, which acts as a methylation guide for 18S ribosomal RNA in plants.
Source: Rfam by way of RNAcentral